GACGAACGCUGGCGGCGUGCUUAAUACAUGCAAGUCGAACGGAAAGGCCCUGCUUUUGUGGGGCGCUCGAGUGGCGAACGGGGGAGUAACACGUGAGUAACCUGCCCUUGACUUUGGGAUAACUUCAGGAAACUGGGGCUAAUACCGGAUAGGAGCUCCUGCUGCACGGUGGGGGUUGGAAAGUUUCGGCGGUUCGGGAUGGACUCGCGGCUUAUCAGCUUGUUGGUGGGGUAGUGGCUUACCAAGGCUUUGACGGGUAGCCGGCCUGGGAGGGUGACCGGCCACAUUGGGACUGAGAUACGGCCCAGACUCCUACGGGAGGCAGCAGUGGGGAAUAUUGCACAAUGGGCGGAAGCCUGAUGCAGCAACGCCGCGUGCGUGAUGACGGCCUUCGGGUUGUAAACCGCUUUCGCCUGUGACGAAGCGUGAGUGACGGUAAUGGGUAAAGAAGCACCGGCUAACUACGUG
RNAcentral lists this ribosomal RNA (468 nucleotides) under uncultured bacterium. RNAcentral's name for it is "partial 16S ribosomal RNA". It matches the Rfam family "Bacterial small subunit ribosomal RNA", at positions 28 to 507 of the family's 1533-position model. The record is from RNAcentral.